RNAcentral lists this ribosomal RNA (272 nucleotides) under uncultured bacterium. RNAcentral describes it as "partial small subunit ribosomal RNA". It matches the Rfam family "Bacterial small subunit ribosomal RNA", at positions 26 to 282 of the family's 1533-position model. The record is from RNAcentral.
AGAAUCAACGCUGGCGGCGUGCCUCAGACAUGCAAGUCGAACGCGAAAGUCCCCUUCGGGGGCAAGUAGAGUGGCGCACGGGUGAGUAACACGUAGGUAAUCUACCUUUGGAUGGGGAAUAACAACCGGAAACGGUUGCUAAUACCGCAUAAUGCAGCGGCACCUAAUGGUGACAGUUGUUAAAGCGUGGGAUCGAAAGACCUCGCGUCUAAAGAGGAGCCUGCGGCGGAUUAGCUAGUUGGUAGGGUAAUGGCUUACCAAGGCUACGAUCC